Molecule: ribosomal RNA, 429 nt
Filed under: Acidobacteriota bacterium
Lineage: Bacteria; Pseudomonadati; Acidobacteriota
Description: Acidobacteria bacterium partial 16S ribosomal RNA
Rfam family: Bacterial small subunit ribosomal RNA
Source: RNAcentral
UGGGGAAUUUUGGACACUGGGGGAAACCCUGAUCCAGCCAUCCCGCGCGUGCGAUGAAGGCCUUCGGGUUGUAAAGCACUCUUGGCAGGAAAGAAACGUCAUGGGUUAAUACCCCGUGAAACUGACGGUACCUGCAGAAUAAGCACCGGCUAACUACGUGCCAGCAGCCGCGGUAAUACGUAGGGUGCAAGCGUUAAUCGGAAUUACUGGGCGUAGAGCGUGCGCAGGCGGUUCGGAAAGAAAGAUGUGAAAUCCCAGAGCUCAACUUUGGAACUGCAUUUUUAGCUGCCGGGCUAGAGUGUGUCAGAGGGAGGUAGAAUUCCGCGUGUAGCAGUGAAAUGCGUAGAUAUGCGGAGGAACACCGAUGGCGAAGGCAGCCUCCUGGGAUAACACUGACGGUCAUGCAAGAAAGCGUGGGGAGCAAACAGG